GGGUCAGUAGGUUGGUCGUGCCACCGGUACGUACUGGUCUCACUGAUUCCUCCUUCCUGAAGAGCCGUAAUGCCAUUAAUUUGGUGUUGCGGGGAAACAGGACUGUUACUUUGAAAAAAUUAGAGUGUUUAAAGCAAGCUAACGCUUGAAUACAUUAGCAUGGAGUAAUGAAAUAGGACGAUCGAUCCUAUUUUGUUGGUUUCUAGGAUUGACGUA
This 216-nucleotide ribosomal RNA is filed under the name Glomeromycotina sp. Its description in RNAcentral is "partial small subunit ribosomal RNA". The stretch from base 40 to 216 matches the Rfam family "Eukaryotic small subunit ribosomal RNA", at positions 686 to 864 of the family's 1831-position model. The record is from RNAcentral. Lineage: Eukaryota; Fungi; Glomeromycota.